This 2390-nucleotide long non-coding RNA is filed under the name Sus scrofa (pig). RNAcentral describes it as "lncRNA (ENSSSCG00070018789.1)". Lineage: Eukaryota; Metazoa; Chordata; Mammalia; Artiodactyla; Suidae. The record is from RNAcentral.
CACUGUUCAUAAUACAUAAAUUAUUAGGGGUAAGAUUAAACACGCUGAUGUGAAAAUGGUGGAAGGUAUUCUAAUCUGGAAUCCUCUUAGAUUCCACCGGAGAUGGUAAAUUUGAAAGCCAUAGGAUCAUAUGUAACAGAGGUCUCAGCAAAACUGAGUUAGAUUAAGCUAAACGAAAAUUUGUUAUAUGAAAUUAGGAAGCUCACCAGUUUCCCUGGACGACUAGAGUCAGACGGAGAGCUCCCAGACUGCACUCAGAGGGCUGCCUGUGGAAAGGUUAGACAUUUUCUCCUGAAGAAUCCUUGCCACCAGCAGUUUCGUCGCUCAGCUCAUUGGCCGUAAAGCAGUUUUGCCGUAAAAGAUAAAAUAACUGAUUGACGGUUUGGUUUCAAUUGGUUAACAGUUUGAUUUUAUUUCUCUAUUGAUACAUUACUAUUUUUAUGAUAUAUGUAUAUUUCAGGCCUCAUAAUGACCUAAACAGUGAGGCGUAAGCCUGGUGGUAUUAAAAGAGUGGAUGGUAACAACCUCAUUUAUCGACCUGAUAGAAAAUAUGGUGAUAAGAAAACUUACUGGAAGUGUGAAAUAAGCAUGUAAAGCCAGAAUGCAUACUACACUAGAAAAUAGCACAUCAGUUUGUAAAUCUUUUCAGUGAGCAUCGUCAUCCCUAUCAGUCCUCAAAAAGCAAAGUUUGCCAAGCUAUGGAGAAUAUAAAAGAGGGAGCCUCGGGUUCACAGCAGUCUUUGGGAGCAUUAAUGACAGAUUCUUUAGCUAAUUUGGGUAAUAGCUGUUGUUCUCUCAUGCCCUCUUUUCCAAAUUUAUUUUAGAAGCUAGAGGCAAAAGAAGAAUCAACCCUUCCUAUCCCUCCAAAAGAUGCAGUUGUGUCGUUCCUGAUGAGUACAGCUUUCUCGAAAAUGAGCCAAGACACAGAGCUGGGGUCUCCACUGGUGCCCAAGGCCUGCCCAGAGACUACUAGAACCCAAUGUCACAGGAGGCACACCCAGAUUCUUGUACUCAUGUUACCUAAACCUGAAACCCUCAAAGUACUUAAAGAGAUGUCAGCAAAAGAGCUAUUUGUGGUUUUCACUUGCUUUUAUUUAAGUCAACUUUACCAUACAGCUCAGACUGGAGUUGCUGAGGAUCUGGUACACUCACAGUGUUCAAAAUCAUCGCUGUUCUUGGCAUGAACCAGGUAUAUCUUAGUUUCAUUUUUUCUUAGGACAAUUUCUUUCCCAAGGAUCUCAUUGGUCACUAAUGCAAAUAGACAGCUGAGGAGCCUGAGCUUUCAGUCUCCAGGCAGGCCUGAUUGCUAAGGGCAGCACAGCUUUGGAUCCAGCUUGACCCUUAUUAAUAAUGAUCUUGCCUGCCUUCCAAGGCCAUAUGGUCUAGAUGUGAUAGGCACAUAGCCUGACUGAUUAUUUCAACUCUCUGUGCUAAGUGAUACAGUAAAAGAACAUCAUAAGAGUCAUUUAACUAAAUGUAGAGAAUCCCAAUGGACUUCCUCAGAGACAGGAAGCCUUGUUUGAUGCCUGAAGCAUGAACACAUUAUACUUCAUUCCAUUUUCAGCAAUGCCAAAUUCUCCUUCCCAAUCAAGAUGAAUUAGAGAAAUGUAAGAAACGAAAAUACAGCCCCAGAGUCUCAGGGGCUCCAGUUUCUGGAAAUGGGUGGUAAUAGCCAUGUAAAGGCCUGGGAAAGAUGGAUAAAGUCAUUUCAGGACAAACUCCUAGUAGCUGUUGUGCACACAAUUACUUCAGACCUUUAGCUGAAUAAUUCAUGCCUAUCUUGAAGUUUAGAGCUCCUCUCUGGACCACUGGCACACUGCACUGAGAAGGAUGUUCAUGAGACAUGUGGAGUUUGGUCAGCAUGACCUUCAUGGGUGAAGAGUAAGGGGGAACACCAGGAAUGCCACAUAUUUUCUCCCCCUGCCUAAUUUCUGGAUAAAUUUCAAGUCAUAUAUUUUCUAUGAGAUCCAUCAACCAAAUUUUGUAUCUAAUAUUUCCCUAAGACUUGCUUCAAGAGUUGAUUCGACAGUUAGCAAUGAAGGCAAAACCUAAGCAGUUUUAUUUGGGAAACUUGGGAAUCCUUUACAUUUGUAUAAACCCUAAAAGAAAUAUCUAAUCUAAAGAAGACAGCUGCUAGUAUUUUGAUGGAGCUGAUCUUUACUUCCAAGGUGAGCCAGUUAAAAACAAUCUCAACUGUGACCCAUGGAAAUGUGGCUAAUCUUAUUUUUAAUAUAAAACUAUGGAUUGCUUUCAUAUUUUUCCAUGAACAAUUCUAAAGUGAAUCCUCUCAAACAUUUUGUCUUCUGGGAGGAUUUAACUGAGUUUUGGUUCCAUCCACGAAGGAUUGAGGGGGAAGAUUUGAGUGUGGAAUAAAGGCUUGGUCUCAGACA